AGUGAACGCUGGCGGUAGGCCUAACACAUGCGAGUCGAACGGCAGCACAGUAAGAGCUUGCUCUUACGGGUGGCGAGUGGCGGACGGGUGAGGAAUACAUCGGAAUCUACUUUUUCGUGGGGGAUAACGUAGGGAAACUUACGCUAAUACCGCAUACGACCUACGGGUGAAAGCAGGGGAUCUUCGGACCUUGCGCGAUUGAAUGAGCCGAUGUCGGAUUAGCUAGUUGGAGGGGUAAAGGCCCACCAAGGCGACGAUCCGUAGCUGGUCUGAGAGGAUGAUCAGCCACACUGGAACUGAGACACGGUCCAGACUCCUACGGGAGGCAGCAGUGGGGAAUAUUGGACAAUGGGCGCAAGCCUGAUCCAGCCAUACCGCGUGGGUGAAGAAGGCCUUCGGGUUGUAAAGCCCUUUUGUUGGGAAAGAAAAGCAGCAGGUUAAUACCCCGCUGUUCUGACGGUACCCAAAGAAUAAGCACCGGCUAACUUCGUG
This 492-nucleotide ribosomal RNA is filed under the name uncultured bacterium. RNAcentral's name for it is "partial 16S ribosomal RNA". It matches the Rfam family "Bacterial small subunit ribosomal RNA", at positions 29 to 507 of the family's 1533-position model. The record is from RNAcentral.